Molecule: ribosomal RNA, 799 nt
Filed under: uncultured Porphyromonadaceae bacterium
Lineage: Bacteria; Pseudomonadati; Bacteroidota; Bacteroidia; Bacteroidales; Porphyromonadaceae
Description: bacterial SSU rRNA
Rfam family: Bacterial small subunit ribosomal RNA
Source: RNAcentral
AGAGUUUGAUUAUGGCUCAGGAUGAAACGCUAGCGAUAGGCCUAACACAUGCAAGUCGAGGGGCAGCACAUGAAGUAGCAAUACGGAUGGUGGCGACCGGCGCACGGGUGAGUAACGCGUAUGCAACCUGCCUACAACAGGGGAAUAACCCGUUGAAAGACGGACUAAUACCCCAUAACACAGGGAUCCCGCAUGGGAAUAUUUGUUAAAGAUUUAUCGGUUGUAGAUGGGCAUGCGUUCCAUUAGCUUGUUGGUGAGGUAACGGCUCACCAAGGCAACGAUGGAUAGGGGAACUGAGAGGUUUAUCCCCCACACUGGUACUGAGACACGGACCAGACUCCUACGGGAGGCAGCAGUGAGGAAUAUUGGUCAAUGGACGCAAGUCUGAACCAGCCACGUCGCGUGAAGGAAGACGGCCCUACGGGUUGUAAACUUCUUUUGUAAGGGAAUAAAGUGUAGUACGUGUACUAUUUUGCAUGUACCUUACGAAUAAGGAUCGGCUAACUCCGUGCCAGCAGCCGCGGUAAUACGGAGGAUCCGAGCGUUAUCCGGAUUUAUUGGGUUUAAAGGGUGCGCAGGCGGGAGAUUAAGUCGGCGGUGAAAUUUUGCAGCUCAACUGUAAAAGUGCCUUCGAAACUGGUUUCCUUGAGUGUGGAUGAAGUAGGCGGAAUUUGUGGUGUAGCGGUGAAAUGCAUAGAUAUCACGAGGAACUCCGAUUGCGCAGGCAGCUUACUAAACCAUAACUGACGCUCAGGCACGAAGGCGUGGGGAUCAAACAGGAUUAGAUACCCUGGUAGUC